CCCUUAGAUGUUCUGGGCCGCACGCGCGCUACACUGACGAUGUCAACGAGUCUCUCCUUGGCCGAAAGGUCUGGGUAAUCUUCUGAAACAUCGUCGUGCUGGGGAUAGAUCAUUGCAAUUUUUGAUCUUCAACGAGGAAUGCCUAGUAAACGCAAGUCAUCAGCUUGCAUUGAUUACGUCCCUGCCCUUUGUACACACCGCCCGUCGCUCCUACCGAUUGAACGUUCCGAUGAAUACCAUGGAUUGAGAGUCUGAAUGGGUUCGCCUAUUUCUGCUUCUCGAGAAGUGGAGUAAAUCUUAGCGUUUAGAGGAAGGAGAAGUCGUAACA
Molecule: ribosomal RNA, 328 nt
Filed under: uncultured eukaryote
Lineage: Eukaryota
Description: partial 18S ribosomal RNA
Rfam family: Eukaryotic small subunit ribosomal RNA
Source: RNAcentral